This 356-nucleotide ribosomal RNA is filed under the name uncultured Glomeraceae. RNAcentral's name for it is "SSU rRNA". It matches the Rfam family "Eukaryotic small subunit ribosomal RNA", at positions 569 to 929 of the family's 1831-position model. Lineage: Eukaryota; Fungi; Glomeromycota; Glomeromycetes; Glomerales; Glomeraceae. The record is from RNAcentral.
AGCAGCCGCGGUAAUUCCAGCUCCAAUAGCGUAUAUUAAAGUUGUUGCAGUUAAAAAGCUCGUAGUUGAAUUUCGGGAUCAGUAGGUUGGUCGUGCCAACGGUAUGCACUGGCCUCACUGGUUCCUCCUUCUUGUAGAACCGUAAUGCCAUUAAGUUGGUGUUGCGGGGAAACAGGACUGUUACUUUGAAAAAAUUAGAGUGUUUAAAGCAGGCUAACGCUUGAAUACAUUAGCAUGGAAUAAUGAAAUAGGACGAACGAUCCUAUUUUGUUGGUUUCUAGGAUUGACGUAAUGAUUAAUAGGGAUAGUUGGGGGCAUUAGUAUUCAAUUGUCAGAGGUGAAAUUCUUGGAUUUAU